RNAcentral lists this transfer RNA (51 nucleotides) under Chloroflexi bacterium RBG_13_60_9. RNAcentral's name for it is "tRNA-Ser". The record is from RNAcentral. Lineage: Bacteria; Bacillati; Chloroflexota.
AGCUGACUCUUAAUCAGGUGGUUGAGGGUUCGAGUCCCCCGUGGGUCACCA